UACGAAGGGGGCUAGCGUUGUUCGGAAUCACUGGGCGUAAAGCGCACGUAGGCGGAUUUGUUAGUCAGGGGUGAAAUCCCGGGGCUCAACCUCGGAACUGCCUUUGAUCCUGCAGAUCUCGAGUCCGGAAGAGGUGAGUGGAAUUCCUAGUGUAGAGGUGAAAUUCGUAGAUAUUAGGAAGAACACCAGUGGCGACGGCGGCUCACUGGUCCGGUACUGACGCUGAGUUGCGAAAGCGCGGGGAGCAAACAGG
This 253-nucleotide ribosomal RNA is filed under the name uncultured bacterium. RNAcentral describes it as "partial 16S ribosomal RNA". It matches the Rfam family "Bacterial small subunit ribosomal RNA", at positions 524 to 776 of the family's 1533-position model. The record is from RNAcentral.